This 71-nucleotide transfer RNA is filed under the name Marmota monax (woodchuck). RNAcentral describes it as "tRNA.Ala". It matches the Rfam family "tRNA". From Rfam's summary of the family: Transfer RNA (tRNA) molecules are approximately 80 nucleotides in length. Their secondary structure includes four short double-helical elements and three loops (D, anti-codon, and T loops). Lineage: Eukaryota; Metazoa; Chordata; Mammalia; Rodentia; Sciuridae. The record is from RNAcentral.
GGGGUUGUGGCUCAGCGCUAGAGUGCUCACCUUGCAUGUGAAAGGCCCUGGGUUUGAUCCUCAGCACCACA